GACGAACGCUGGCGGCGUGCUUAACACAUGCAAGUCGAACGGAGAGGCCCUGCUUUUGUGGGGUGCUCGAGUGGCGAACGGGUGAGUAACACGUGAGUAACCUGCCCUUGACUUUGGGAUAACUUCAGGAAACUGGGGCUAAUACCGGAUAGGAGCUCCUGCUGCAUAGUGGGGGUUGGAAAGUUUCGGCGGUUGGGGAUGGACUCGCGGCUUAUCAGCUUGUUGGUGGGGUAGUGGCUUACCAAGGCUUUGACGGGUAGCCGGCCUGAGAGGGUGACCGGCCACAUUGGGACUGAGAUACGGCCCAGACUCCUACGGGAGGCAGCAGUGGGGAAUAUUGCACAAUGGGCGGAAGCCUGAUGCAGCAACGCCGCGUGCGGGAUGACGGCCUUCGGGUUGUAAACCGCUUUCGCCUGUGACGAAGCGUGAGUGACGGUAAUGGGUAAAGAAGCACCGGCUAACUACGUG
RNAcentral lists this ribosomal RNA (468 nucleotides) under uncultured bacterium. RNAcentral describes it as "partial 16S ribosomal RNA". It matches the Rfam family "Bacterial small subunit ribosomal RNA", at positions 28 to 507 of the family's 1533-position model. The record is from RNAcentral.